CACCUCCUGCGGUGUGCGAUACGGGCUGGGUUACUCUUUGAGCCUAAAUCAAAACCCCGGAGUUGGCCCGUUGACGUCGGUGUGCAGGUCCGCCCUGGUAGCGGAAAGCCUAAAGCGUUACGGCCGGCUCCACCUGAACCUUUGGUUCAAGGGCGAAAGCCUGUAACGGCACUGGCGGGAGGCGC
Molecule: non-coding RNA, 185 nt
Filed under: Gammaproteobacteria bacterium
Lineage: Bacteria; Pseudomonadati; Pseudomonadota; Gammaproteobacteria
Description: 6S RNA
Rfam family: 6S / SsrS RNA
About the family: E. coli 6S RNA was the first non coding RNA to be sequenced, but its function was unknown until recently. It consists of 184 nucleotides that fold into an extended hairpin structure with a large single-stranded internal bulge. The 6S RNA specifically associates with RNA polymerase holoenzyme containing the sigma70 specificity factor.
Source: RNAcentral